GACGGACGGUGCAAGCGUUGCUCGGAAUCACUGGGCGUAAAGGGUGCGUAGGCGGCCGUGUAAGUCUGGCGUGAAAGCCCCGGGCUCAGCCCGGGAAGUGCGCUAGAAACUGCGCGGCUCGAGUGCCGGAGGGGAGAGUGGAAUUCCUGGUGUAGCGGUGAAAUGCGUAGAUAUCUGGAGGAACACCGGUGGCGAAGGCGGCAUCCUGGACCGAGAUUGACGCUGAGGCGCGAAAGCCAGGGGAGCAAACGGG
This 253-nucleotide ribosomal RNA is filed under the name uncultured bacterium. RNAcentral's name for it is "partial 16S ribosomal RNA". It matches the Rfam family "Bacterial small subunit ribosomal RNA", at positions 524 to 776 of the family's 1533-position model. The record is from RNAcentral.